Molecule: ribosomal RNA, 499 nt
Filed under: uncultured Glomeromycotina
Lineage: Eukaryota; Fungi; Glomeromycota
Description: partial small subunit ribosomal RNA
Rfam family: Eukaryotic small subunit ribosomal RNA
Source: RNAcentral
CCAAUAGCGUAUAUUAAAGUUGUUGCAGUUAAAAAGCUCGUAGUUGAAUUUCGGGGUCAGCAAGUUGGUCGUGCCACUGGUAUGUACUGGCUUUGCUGAUUCCUCCUUCUUGUAGAACCGUAAUGCCAUUAAUUUGGUGUUGCGGGGAAACAGGACUGUUACUUUGAAAAAAUUAGAGUGUUUAAAGCAGGCUAACGCUUGAAUACAUUAGCAUGGAAUAAUGAAAUAGGACGAGCGAUCCUAUUUUGUUGGUUUCUAGGAUUGACGUAAUGAUUAAUAGGGAUAGUUGGGGGCAUUAGUAUUCAAUUGUCAGAGGUGAAAUUCUUGGAUUUAUUGAAGACUAACUACUGCGAAAGCAUUUGCCAAGGAUGUUUUCAUUAAUCAAGAACGAAAGUUAGGGGAUCGAAGACGAUCAGAUACCGUCGUAGUCUUAACCAUAAACUAUGCCGACUAGGGAUCGGAUGAUGUUAAUUUUAUAAUGACUCAUUCGGCGCCUUAC